RNAcentral lists this ribosomal RNA (434 nucleotides) under uncultured Clostridium sp. Its description in RNAcentral is "partial 16S ribosomal RNA". It matches the Rfam family "Bacterial small subunit ribosomal RNA", at positions 341 to 792 of the family's 1533-position model. Lineage: Bacteria; Bacillati; Bacillota; Clostridia; Eubacteriales; Clostridiaceae. The record is from RNAcentral.
ACGGGAGGCAGCAGUGGGGAAUAUUGGACAAUGGGGGAAACCCUGAUCCAGCGACGCCGCGUGAGUGAAGAAGUAUUUCGGUAUGUAAAGCUCUAUCAGCAGGGAAGAAAAUGACGGUACCUGACUAAGAAGCCCCGGCUAACUACGUGCCAGCAGCCGCGGUAAUACGUAGGGGGCAAGCGUUAUCCGGAUUUACUGGGUGUAAAGGGCGUGUAGGCGGAAAGGCAAGUCAGAAGUGAAAUCCCCGGGCUUAACCCGGGAACUGCUUUUGAAACUGUCUUCCUUGAGUAUCGGAGAGGCAGGCGGAAUUCCUAGUGUAGCGGUGAAAUGCGUAGAUAUUAGGAAGAACACCGGUGGCGAAGGCGGCCUGCUGGACGACAACUGACGCUGAGGCGCGAAAGCGUGGGGAGCAAACAGGAUUAGAUACCCUGGUA